RNAcentral lists this transfer RNA (69 nucleotides) under Lophiomus setigerus (blackmouth angler). RNAcentral's name for it is "tRNA-Phe". Lineage: Eukaryota; Metazoa; Chordata; Actinopteri; Lophiiformes; Lophiidae. The record is from RNAcentral.
ACUUGUGUAGCUUAUUCAAAGCACAACACUGAAGAUGUCGAGACUGGGCCCUGAAAAGCUCCAUAAGUA